Molecule: ribosomal RNA, 516 nt
Filed under: Microhyla palmipes (palmated chorus frog)
Lineage: Eukaryota; Metazoa; Chordata; Amphibia; Anura; Microhylidae
Description: partial 16S rRNA
Rfam family: Bacterial large subunit ribosomal RNA
Source: RNAcentral
UCUGACCGUGCAAAGGUAGCGUAAUCACUUGUUCUUUAAAUGAGGACUAGUAUGAACGGCAUCACGAGGGUUAUACUGUCUCCCUACUCCACUCAGUGAAACUGAUCUCCCCGUGAAGAAGCGGGGAUGUAAAUAUAAGACGAGAAGACCCCAUGGAGCUUUAAACUCAGUUCCACCUGCCAAUUUUAAAACUUAUUAACCACGCAGCACUGGUAACUAGUUUUCGGUUGGGGUGACCACGGAGUAAAACAAAACCUCCAUGAUGAAAGGAACUAACAUCCUUAUCCAAAAAUUACAUUUUUAAGAAUCAACAAAUUGACCACAUUGACCCAAUUAUUUGAUCAACGAACCAAGUUACCCUGGGGAUAACAGCGCAAUCCAUUUCAAGAGCCCUUAUCGACAAAUGGGUUUACGACCUCGAUGUUGGAUCAGGGUAUCCCAGUGGCGCAGCCGUUACUAAAGGUUCGUUUGUUCAACGAUUAAAACCUUACGUGAUCUGAGUUAGGACCCGGAGAA